AAAGACCAUGAGCCGCACACCACAGCCGUUGGAUGAAGUAUCCUAUUUGAUGUCAGGGCUUGGCCGGAGGAAUGUUUCUAUGUCAGAGGACAGUGGCCAUACCCAGAUCACAUCACUUCUAACCCAAGAGUUCCCCAAAAUGGGGAAUUUAACUGGGGGAUGGCUCCUCUACAAAGCCUCAGGAGGCACUGGACAGCGCAAGCUAAGCUUGCUUCCACCCGAAGCAGAGGAGUACUCUGCCAGACAGUUAAAAAUUGCUUCUAACAAUGGCAAAAAUACAGUAUUCAUUAUGCCUCUGCAAGAAGAACUUGAUACAACUCCCCUCCCACUAGAUGACAGUUUCUUUUCAAAAAUGCCAAAAAGUAGCUGUAAAAAAUGUGGGUCAAGAAUGCCGGUGCAUGUUCUGCUCGUCCACCUGGAGAAAUGUGAAGGGACACUACAGGUCUCUGAAGCAUGUGAUGGGAUCCCAGAGGAAAAUGCAACAUGUCCAGUGUGUUCAUGCGUAUUCUCCUCUGCCACAAUUGAAAUGCAUGCCAGCAUGUGUGGUGAGA
Molecule: long non-coding RNA, 551 nt
Organism: Larimichthys crocea (large yellow croaker)
Lineage: Eukaryota; Metazoa; Chordata; Actinopteri; Sciaenidae
Exons: 4
Source: RefSeq, a predicted model, not a curated record